RNAcentral lists this ribosomal RNA (254 nucleotides) under uncultured bacterium. RNAcentral describes it as "partial 16S ribosomal RNA". It matches the Rfam family "Bacterial small subunit ribosomal RNA", at positions 524 to 776 of the family's 1533-position model. The record is from RNAcentral.
UACAGAGGUCCCAAGCGUUGUUCGGAUUCACUGGGCGUAAAGGGUGCGCAGGUGGUUUGGCAAGUUUGACGUGAAAGCCCCGGGCUUAACCCGGGAAUGGCGUUGAAAACUGCUUGAACUGGAGGAUUGGAGGGGGGACUGGAAUUCUUGGUGUAGCAGUGAAAUGCGUAGAUAUCAAGAGGAACGCCAGUGGCGAAGGCGAGUCCCUGGACAAUACCUGACACUGAGGCACGAAAGCCAAGGGAGCAAACAGG